This 395-nucleotide ribosomal RNA is filed under the name uncultured bacterium. RNAcentral's name for it is "partial 16S ribosomal RNA". It matches the Rfam family "Bacterial small subunit ribosomal RNA", at positions 523 to 918 of the family's 1533-position model. The record is from RNAcentral.
AUCCGUAGGGUGCAAGCGUUAAUCGGAAUUACUGGGCGUAAAGCGUGCGCAGGCGGUUUUGUAAGACAGAGGUGAAAUUCCCGGGCUCAAACUGGGAACUGACUUUGAGACAGCCAGGCUAGACGACGGCAGAGGGGGAUGGAAUUCCGCGUGUGGAGGAAGAAUGCGUAGAUAUGCGGAGGAACACCGAUGGCGAAGGCAAUCCCCUGGGCCUGUACUGACGCUCAUACACGAAAGCGUGGGGAGCAAACAGGAUUAGAUACCCUGGUAGUCCACGCCCUAAACGAUGUCAACUGGUUGUUGGGUCUUCAUUGACUCAGUAACGAAGCUAACGCGUGAAGUUGACCGCCUGGGGAGUACGGCUGCAAGGUUGAAACUCAAAUGAAUUGACGGGG